UACGUAGGUGGCAAGCGUUGUCCGGAUUUACUGGGCGUAAAGAGCGCGCAGGCGGCCAGGUCAGUCGAAUGUGACAGCCCCCGGCUCAACUGGGGAGGGUCGUUCGAUACUGCCUGGCUCGAAGGUAGGAGAGGGAAGUGGAAUUUCAGGUGGAGUGGUGAAAUGCGUAGAUAUCUGAAGGAACACCAGUGGCGAAGGCGACUUUCUGGCCUAUUCUUGACGCUGAGGCGCGAAAGCUAGGGGAGCGAACGGG
RNAcentral lists this ribosomal RNA (253 nucleotides) under uncultured bacterium. Its description in RNAcentral is "partial 16S ribosomal RNA". It matches the Rfam family "Bacterial small subunit ribosomal RNA", at positions 524 to 776 of the family's 1533-position model. The record is from RNAcentral.